Molecule: long non-coding RNA, 1010 nt
Organism: Musa acuminata AAA Group (dessert banana)
Lineage: Eukaryota; Viridiplantae; Streptophyta; Magnoliopsida; Zingiberales; Musaceae
Exons: 4
Source: RefSeq, a predicted model, not a curated record
CAAAAGUUCUGUCAGUCAGCCAUGUAGCAGGUAGGAAGACAUCGAUCUCUGUUCUUUGCUGGAAAUGUCACCAUGGGCUCUGCAACAUCAUGUUAGACUGCUUUAUGUUUCAUCCACUACCUGACUUCGAUCAUGGGAAGCGUAGUUGCUGCCGACGGCUGGCGGGUCUCAGUGAGCAUCGAAGAAAGCCGCCUCCUGUGACUCCCUCAUCACAGUUUCAUCGUGAGGCCUCAUCCUUGCAUGGAGAACUCAGCAGACUCAGAAGCUUUCAAGGAACUCUUUAAAUCACCCAAGUUCAUCAAACUCUACAGCAGAUGUUUUGCAUGAUUGGGUAGCUGGUGAUCACCGGGUCUUGUGUCCUCCAUCUGUGGUGCAUGGGUCUCAUUAUUAUUCUAUGCAGCAAGUUAUGAGAAGCCCUUCUUCUGUGUCGGACGUCUUGCAGGAGUCGCUCACUCCAAGUGCUUUCUCUCUCUUCUGUCGGCGCCACCAUGGAACAACAGGAACCAGGUUUCAGCUACCUCGGCGAGCGGUAGCUGUGAUGGAACCUCAAUGGGACAGCCAGCAAUGACAAACCCUUGGGGUCUCCUGCCUGUGGAGGUUGGACAACGACUCCAGGUGUCGGACGUCUUGCAGGAGUCCCUCACUCCGGGUGCUCUCUCUCUCUCUCUUCUGUCAGCGCCACCAUGAAACAACAGGAAUCAGGUUUCAGCUACCUUGACGAGCAACAGCUCUGAUGGAACCGCAAUGGGACAGUCAGCCAUGACAAACCCUUAGGGUCUACUACUACCUGUGGAGGUGGGACAAGCACUGAGAACACCCAAGAUGAUAUGGGAAUACCUAGACCAGCUGGGUUUGGUCAUGGACAGAUUUCAGGUAUGCCUGAGUCGGCUCGGCAGGUAAAUUGGAGCUAUCAAGGCUUAAAUAGGGUAGCAGAUGACCCAUCAGGCCGUCCAACGCACUGAUCCCUGCACGAUAUUUUGAUAUUGGCAUUCAUUUCAAUUGUUAUUUCC